RNAcentral lists this ribosomal RNA (384 nucleotides) under uncultured bacterium. RNAcentral's name for it is "bacterial SSU rRNA". It matches the Rfam family "Bacterial small subunit ribosomal RNA", at positions 30 to 420 of the family's 1533-position model. The record is from RNAcentral.
CCUGAACGCUGGCGGCGUGGCUAAGACAUGCAAGUCGAACGGGACCCGCAAGGGUUCAGUGGCGGACGGGUGAGUAAUGUAUCGCUAAUGUGCCCCGGAAUCCGGGAUAGCUAGCCGAAAGGCUAGGUAAUACCGGAUGAUAUGUCCUGAUGGCAUCAUCGGGACCUCAAAGGAGCAAUCCGGUCUGGGAGCAGGCGAUAUCGUAUCAGCUAGUUGGGAGGUAACGGCUCACCAAGGCGACGACGCGUAGCCGGGCUGAGAGGUUGGCCGGCCACAUUGGGACUGAGACACUGCCCAGACUCCUACGGGGGGCUGCAGUAACGAAUCUUCCGCAAUGCACGAAAGUGUGACGGAGCGACGCCGCGUGUAGGAUGAAGUCCUCGG